UUGAUCCUGGCUCAGAUUGUACGCUAGCGGCAUGCCUAACACAUGCAAGUCGAACGGGACAGCGCGGAGAGAACUUGUUUUUCUCUAGCGAGUUGAGUGGCGAACGGGUGAGUAAUGCGUAGGAAUCUACCUUUUAGAGGGGGAUAACCCGAGGAAACUCGGGCUAAUACCGCGUAGUAUCUCUUUUCAUAGAAAAGUUGAAGAAAGCGGGGAUCCUUGAGUUUUUUUAAGGACCUCGCGCUAAAAGAUGAGCCUGCGUCGGAUUAGUUAGUUGGUGGGGUAAUAGCCCACCAAGACGAUGAUCCGUAGCUGGUCUGAGAGGAUGAUCAGCCACACUGGGACUGAGACACGGCCCAGACUCCUAUGGGAGGCAGCAGUGGGGAAUAUUGGACAAUGGGGGAAACCCUGAUCCAGCAAUGCCGCGUGUGUGAAGAAGGCCUUCGGGUUGUAAAGCACUUUCAGCAGGAAAGAAAGUCUUAAAGUUAAUACCUUUAAUGAGUUGACGUUACCUGCAGAAGAAGCACUGGCUAACUCUGUGCCAGCAGCCGCGGUAAUACAGAGAGUGCAAGCGUUAAUCGGAAUUACUGGGCGUAAAGCGCGCGUAGGUGGAUAUUAAAGUCGGGUGUGAAAGCCCCGAGCUUAACUCGGGAAUUGCGUUCGAUACUGAGUAUCUAGAGUAUAGUAGAGGGAAGUGGAAUUUCCGGUGUAGCGGUGAAAUGCGUAGAUAUCGGAAGGAACACCAGUGGCGAAGGCGGCUUCCUGGACUAAUACUGACACUGAGGUGCGAAAGCGUAGGGAGCAAACAGGAUUAGAUACCCUGGUAGUC
This 826-nucleotide ribosomal RNA is filed under the name uncultured bacterium. RNAcentral describes it as "bacterial SSU rRNA". It matches the Rfam family "Bacterial small subunit ribosomal RNA", at positions 13 to 795 of the family's 1533-position model. The record is from RNAcentral.